Molecule: transfer RNA, 73 nt
Filed under: Acropora cervicornis
Lineage: Eukaryota; Metazoa; Cnidaria; Anthozoa; Scleractinia; Acroporidae
Description: tRNA-OTHER
Rfam family: tRNA
About the family: Transfer RNA (tRNA) molecules are approximately 80 nucleotides in length. Their secondary structure includes four short double-helical elements and three loops (D, anti-codon, and T loops). Further hydrogen bonds mediate the characteristic L-shaped molecular structure. tRNAs have two regions of fundamental functional importance: the anti-codon, which is responsible for specific mRNA codon recognition, and the 3' end, to which the tRNAs corresponding amino acid is attached (by aminoacyl-tRNA synthetases). tRNAs cope with the degeneracy of the genetic code in two manners: having more than one tRNA (with a specific anti-codon) for a particular amino acid; and 'wobble' base-pairing, i.e. permitting non-standard base-pairing at the 3rd anti-codon position.
Source: RNAcentral
GGCUUCAUAGCUCAGUUGGUUAGAGCGACGCACCAGUAUCACCAGGUCACGGGUUCAAACCCCGUUGAAGUCC